UCCCUCUUACUUUUAUUCCCAGUUCUUAAUUCUCUGGAGCACUGAUUGCUAUUACUUCUUGUUGGAUAAUCUGUGAGGAGAACUGCUGUAGCUUCCUAAAUAAGGCUUUUGAAAGAGCCAGUGGUUUGUCAGAAAAACAUGUGACUAAAAUCCCUCUUUAUUGGCAACAGGACCUUGGGCAAGUCACUUCAACUCAUUUAACUUUUGCUUCCUUCUACUUAAAAAAAUUCUGCACCUGUCUGCCUUUCCCAUAGGCUGUGGCAAAGUCAAAUGAGACAGUUCCCAUGGAAGGACUUGGAAGCAGCAAAGGCUUAUAUGAAUGUCAGAUGUUAAAAGUAGCACAGAGCAUGUUGCUAUCAUCGAGCCCUAUCAUUCCUGAAAUAUAGUUACCAAAAGUGAAAUCUUAAAAGGAAGACUUUUCUUGAUAAUUUUACAAAUACUAUCUUGGUUUUCCUAAGAUUUCUAAAUAAUCAAGGAAAGGAGAAUAAGGAAACCUCUGAAGACCUAGAUCUUUUGGUGGGAAGAUGGAAUUUGAGCUGAGAUCUGAAUGAAAGCCACCAUUUGGAAUGUGCAGAGAGAGGAUGUGGAAAUCUUAAGGGGCAAAUAAAAGGAAGAAAUGAAAAAAAGUACAAAAGUAUGGAGAAGAAUAUUGUGGAAGGCAGGAUCAAGGUAGGCAGAUUCAGGUAAGAGUGGGAGGUAAGCUGUGGCCUGGUGUGAGGUGAGGUUGGAGAGGCAGGCAGAGCCCGUGGGAAAGGUAGGAUGUUGUACAUCACCAUAAGCAGUCUGGCG
RNAcentral lists this long non-coding RNA (789 nucleotides) under Homo sapiens (human). RNAcentral describes it as "HSALNT0096824". Lineage: Eukaryota; Metazoa; Chordata; Mammalia; Primates; Hominidae. The record is from RNAcentral.